GUGCCAGCCGCCGCGGUAAUACGUAGGGGGCGAGCGUUGUCCGGAUUCAUUGGGCGUAAAGAGCUCGUAGGCGGCUUGCUAAGUCAGGUGUGAAAUCUCCAGGCUCAACCUGGAGUCGCCACCUGAUACUGGUAUGGCUUGAGUCCGGUAGGGGAUCACGGAAUUCCUGGUGUAGCGGUGAAAUGCGCAGAUAUCAGGAGGAACACCGGUGGCGAAGGCGGUGAUCUGGGCCGGCACUGACGCUGAGGAGCGAAAGCGUGGGGAGCAAACAGGAUUAGAUACCCUUGUAGUCC
Molecule: ribosomal RNA, 293 nt
Filed under: uncultured bacterium
Lineage: Bacteria
Description: partial 16S ribosomal RNA
Rfam family: Bacterial small subunit ribosomal RNA
Source: RNAcentral